Molecule: ribosomal RNA, 446 nt
Filed under: uncultured bacterium
Lineage: Bacteria
Description: partial 16S ribosomal RNA
Rfam family: Bacterial small subunit ribosomal RNA
Source: RNAcentral
CCUACGGGGCGCAGCAGUCGAGAAUCAUUCACAAUGGGGGAAACCCUGAUGGUGCGACGCCGCGUGGGGGAAUGAAGGUCUUCGGAUUGUAAACCCCUGUCAUGUGGGAGCAAAUUAAAAAGAUAGUACCACAAGAGGAAGAGACGGCUAACUCUGUGCCAGCAGCCGCGGUAAUACAGAGGUCUCAAGCGUUGUUCGGAAUCACUGGGCGUAAAGUGUGCGUAGGCUGUUUCGUAAGUCGUGUGUGAAAGGCGCGGGCUCAACCCGCGGACGGCACAUGAUACUGCGAGACUAGAGUAAUGGAGGGGGAACCGGAAUUCUCGGUGUAGCAGUGAAAUGCGUAGAUAUCGAGAGGAACACUCGUGGCGAAGGCGGGUUCCUGGACAUUAACUGACGCUGAGGCACGAAGGCCAGGGGAGCGAAAGGGAUUAGAUACCCUAGUAGUC